This 207-nucleotide ribosomal RNA is filed under the name uncultured bacterium. RNAcentral describes it as "partial 16S ribosomal RNA". It matches the Rfam family "Bacterial small subunit ribosomal RNA", at positions 568 to 774 of the family's 1533-position model. The record is from RNAcentral.
CACGUAGGCGGGUCUUUAAGUCGGGGGUGAAAUCCUGGAGCUCAACUCCAGAACUGCCUUCGAUACUGAGGAUCUCGAGUCCGGGAGAGGUGAGUGGAACUCCGAGUGUAGAGGUGAAAUUCGUAGAUAUUCGGAAGAACACCAGUGGCGAAGGCGGCUCACUGGCCCGGUACUGACGCUGAGGUGCGAAAGCGUGGGGAGCAAACA